CUGAAGUAACGGUCACUAUGAUCUUUUCUGAAGUUCAAACUUCUUGUUAUCCUUAACCUUAUGCAGUAUUUACUCCUCAGUGACAACUUUUCAGCUCUAAUUCUGUACUGUCUAGGCAACUACAAAAAAUAUAUACACCUGGAAAUGUUCAGUGCCAGCAUUAUUGUUAUCAUUUGUUGAAGAUCAAUGAUAUGUAAGUCAAGAGUAUGAUAUGGACCCAAAUAUUUCCAUUUAAAUGAAGAGAAAGAUCAGCUUCCUUCCCAUAUUACCCUUAGUAAAUUUGCAUUUAACAAGGCAUUGUGGGUACAUAGUUUUAAAGACGAAUCUUUGAAGAAAUUUUGUUUUAUUAGGUUUACUUCUAUUUCAGAAGAUUUUCACAUGGUACAUUGGGUCCUGUAGUGAAAAUAUUUCUGGAAAUAAUUUUAUCUGUAGCAUCAAUGAGAAAAAUAAUAUAGAGACUACAUAGCAAUUUUAUUUUUCCAUUUCUUGCUGAACUAUGGCACAAAAUAGUCUUUAUCCCCUCAAUUUCUUUGUAUUCAAACAGCUACCCCUUUGUCAACCUCAGCACUAUAGAAAUGAGGGCUGGCUUGCAUUUCUGCUGCAUUCGCGACAGUCCUGUAAAAUCGGAGACAUUAGUGUAUCUUAGUUUCGUCUGCCAGUAAAAGCCCUAGUUUCUGCUCUCUUUUCUCCAAUUAGCUAGGCUAAUUGAAUUCAUUAUCUAUUGCUGACUAACAAACCACCCUAAAUAUUUGUGGCAUGAAACAACUAUUUUUUUUUUCUUUUUUCUCAUAAGUCUGUGUCAGCUGGUCUGCUGAACCGGCCAAGAUCAGUCUUAACUGGACUUCUCCAUGUAUCUGCAGUCAGCUGGCAGUUUGACUACAGCAACAGGGUGACUCAACUCUGUGCUGUCUUUAUCCAGCAGGCCAGCCCAGGCUUGUUUGUAUGGCGGCAGCAAGUUUCAAAGAAAGAACUUGAAGCAUGUACGCCCCUUGGGGCCAAGGCUUAGAAUUGGCACGUUUCCACUGUUGGUCAGAGCAAAUCACAAGAGCAGUUGGGAUUCAAAGGGAAGGAAUGGAGAUGCAGAUGUAAAGGACGGACUUGCACUCACAUUGGGGGAAGGAGAGAGUGAGACGAUGAAGAAAGAAGCAUCAGCAUAUAUUUACUAUCAUGUCUCUUUAUCCAUGAAAACAAAAGAGAACAAACAAAAUACCUGUGUCAUGGAGGAGGGAGAUGUAAAGACAAAUCUUUCAUGCAAUCCAGUAUAAACACUGAAGCAUUUCAGUGAGUAUUUCUACACAAUCCUUUUAUUUUCUAAUUUUUUUCCUGAAUAAUAAAAUAAGUGUCUUUUCUCUCAUAUCAAUUUUAUAAUCUUAAUAUUUAUGUACAAAUUUAAUAUAAGCAGUUUCCUAUCUCAUCAGAAAUUUGUAGAGGGGUUCAAAAAUUUUUAUACAUAUAUAAAUAUAUAUAUGAAUAUUCAGAUAUUUUUAUUCAAGGCAAU
This 1498-nucleotide long non-coding RNA is filed under the name Bos grunniens (domestic yak). RNAcentral describes it as "lncRNA (ENSBGRG00000017154.1)". Lineage: Eukaryota; Metazoa; Chordata; Mammalia; Artiodactyla; Bovidae. The record is from RNAcentral.